RNAcentral lists this microRNA (23 nucleotides) under Python bivittatus (Burmese python). RNAcentral describes it as "pbv-miR-221-5p". Its record names the gene pbv-miR-221-5p. The record is from miRBase by way of RNAcentral. Lineage: Eukaryota; Metazoa; Chordata; Lepidosauria; Squamata; Pythonidae.
ACCUGGCAUACAAUGUAGAAUAC